This 253-nucleotide ribosomal RNA is filed under the name uncultured bacterium. RNAcentral's name for it is "partial 16S ribosomal RNA". It matches the Rfam family "Bacterial small subunit ribosomal RNA", at positions 524 to 776 of the family's 1533-position model. The record is from RNAcentral.
UACAGAGGUCCCAAGCGUUGUUCGGAUUCAUUGGGCGUAAAGGGUGCGUAGGCGGCGGGGCAAGUCUGAUGUGAAAUCCUGGGGCUCAACCCUGGAACUGCAUUGGAUACUUCCUUGCUAGAGUACUGGAGAGGAAACUGGAAUUUACGGUGUAGCAGUGAAAUGCGUAGAGAUCGUAAGGAAGACCAGUGGCGAAGGCGAGUUUCUGGACAGUUACUGACGCUGAGGCACGAAGGCCAGGGGAGCAAACGGG